UACGUAGGGACCGAGCGUUGUCCGGAAUCAUUGGGCGUAAAGAGCGUGUAGGCGGCCUUUUAAGUCCUGCGUGAAAUCCUGCGGCUCAACCGCAGACGGUCGUGGGAAACUGGAAGGCUAGAGUCCGGGAGAGGAGAGUGGAAUUCCUGGUGUAGCGGUGAAAUGCGCAGAUAUCAGGAAGAACACCCGUGGCGAAAGCGGCUCUCUGGAACGGUACUGACGCUGAGACGCGAAAGCGUGGGGAGCGAACAGG
RNAcentral lists this ribosomal RNA (253 nucleotides) under uncultured bacterium. RNAcentral describes it as "partial 16S ribosomal RNA". It matches the Rfam family "Bacterial small subunit ribosomal RNA", at positions 524 to 776 of the family's 1533-position model. The record is from RNAcentral.